GCCACUUUGGUCUAGCGGUAUGAUAGCUGACUUGUAAUCAGCCGGUCGGGGGUUCAAAUCCCUCAAGUGGCUCCA
Molecule: transfer RNA, 75 nt
Filed under: Methanomethylophilus sp.
Lineage: Archaea; Methanobacteriati; Thermoplasmatota; Thermoplasmata; Methanomassiliicoccales; Methanomethylophilaceae
Description: tRNA-Thr
Rfam family: tRNA
About the family: Transfer RNA (tRNA) molecules are approximately 80 nucleotides in length. Their secondary structure includes four short double-helical elements and three loops (D, anti-codon, and T loops).
Source: RNAcentral